RNAcentral lists this unclassified non-coding RNA (353 nucleotides) under soil metagenome. Its description in RNAcentral is "partial contains 5.8S ribosomal RNA, internal transcribed spacer 2, and large subunit ribosomal RNA". The stretch from base 1 to 120 matches the Rfam family "5.8S ribosomal RNA", at positions 35 to 154 of the family's 154-position model. The record is from RNAcentral.
GAUGAAGAACGCAGCGAAAUGCGAUAAGUAAUGUGAAUUGCAGAAUUCAGUGAAUCAUCGAAUCUUUGAACGCACAUUGCGCCCGCCAGUAUUCUGGCGGGCAUGGCUGUUCGAGCGUCAUUACAACCCUCAGGCCCCCGGGCCUGGCGUUGGGGAUCGGCGGAAGCCCCCUGCGGGCACAACGCCGUCCCCCAAAUACAGUGGCGGUCCCGCCGCAGCUUCCAUUGCGUAGUAGCUAACACCUCGCAACUGGAGAGCGGCGCGGCCACGCCGUAAAACACCCAACUUCUGAAUGUUGACCUCGAAUCAGGUAGGAAUACCCGCUGAACUUAAGCAUAUCAAUAAGCGGAGGA